This 71-nucleotide transfer RNA is filed under the name Candidatus Omnitrophota bacterium. RNAcentral's name for it is "Candidatus Omnitrophica bacterium (sediment metagenome) tRNA-Ala". Lineage: Bacteria; Pseudomonadati; Candidatus Omnitrophota. The record is from RNAcentral.
UCGGUAGUUUGAUUUGCUAGACCUUUUUUUUCGCAAUGAAGAGGUCGGCGGUUCGAUCCCGCUCCGAUCCA